CAUCCCUAUGAUGAUUUUUUGUUAAUAUUAAAGUAGUGGACUGAAUCUUGUUGAGGAGAAACAAAAUCUGAGGGAUGCUCAAAUAUUUAAUUUAUUGUGUUUUACCAUUCAUUGUUAUGAUUCAUAAUGUGUAAGUGUUUUAAGCACGGCCCUUAAGAUCGCCUUCCUCAUAAACAAUGGAAGCGUUUUGAGUCAUAGCUGUGUAAUAUCAAC
Lupinus albus (white lupine) is the source of this 213-nucleotide non-coding RNA. NCBI's taxonomy places the organism in Eukaryota, Viridiplantae, Streptophyta, Magnoliopsida, Fabales, Fabaceae. The record is from the annotation of a GenBank genome assembly.